This 269-nucleotide ribosomal RNA is filed under the name uncultured bacterium. RNAcentral's name for it is "partial 16S ribosomal RNA". It matches the Rfam family "Bacterial small subunit ribosomal RNA", at positions 793 to 1055 of the family's 1533-position model. The record is from RNAcentral.
GUCCAUGCCGUAAACGAUGUUCACUAGGUGUUGGUCUCGUUAACUCGGGGUCAGCGCCGUCGCUAACGCAUUAAGUGAACCACCUGGGGAGUAUACUCGCAAGGGUGAAACUCAAAGAAAUUGACGGGGACCCGCACAAACGGUGGAGCAUGUGGUUUAAUACGACGAUACGCGUGGAACCUCACCCAGGCUUGACAUGUAUUGGAAAGCCCUAUGAAAGUAGGGCCCUCCCUUAAAAGACUGAUACACAGGUGUUGCAUGGCUGUCGU